Molecule: Y RNA, 103 nt
Filed under: Microcebus murinus (gray mouse lemur)
Lineage: Eukaryota; Metazoa; Chordata; Mammalia; Primates; Cheirogaleidae
Description: Y RNA (ENSMICG00000046834.1)
Rfam family: Y RNA
About the family: Y RNAs are components of the Ro ribonucleoprotein particle (Ro RNP), in association with Ro60 and La proteins. The Y RNAs and Ro60 and La proteins are well conserved, but the function of the Ro RNP is not known. In humans the RNA component can be one of four small RNAs -- hY1, hY3, hY4 and hY5.
Source: Rfam by way of RNAcentral
GGCUGGUUCAAGUACAUUGGUGUUUAUAACUAACUAAUCAUAACCAAUCUGUAGAUUUCUUUAUUACUUCUCUACACCCACUGCUUCACUUGACUAGCCUAAC